This 497-nucleotide ribosomal RNA is filed under the name uncultured bacterium. RNAcentral's name for it is "partial 16S ribosomal RNA". It matches the Rfam family "Bacterial small subunit ribosomal RNA", at positions 28 to 507 of the family's 1533-position model. The record is from RNAcentral.
GAUGAACGCUGGCGGCGUGCCUAAUUCAUGCGAGUCGAGCGAACGGACGAGAAGCUUGCUUCUCUGAUGUUAGCGGCGGACGGGUGAGUAACACGUGGAUAACCUACCUAUAAGACUGGGAUAACUUCGGGAAACCGGAGCUAAUACCGGAUAAUAUUUUGAACCGCAUGGUUCAAAAGUGAAAGACGGUCUUGCUGUCACUUAUAGAUGGAUCCGCGCUGCAUUAGCUAGUUGGUAAGGUAACGGCUUACCAAGGCAACGAUGCAUAGCCGACCUGAGAGGGUGAUCGGCCACACUGGAACUGAGACACGGUCCAGACUCCUACGGGAGGCAGCAGUAGGGAAUCUUCCGCAAUGGGCGAAAGCCUGACGGAGCAACGCCGCGUGAGUGAUGAAGGUCUUCGGAUCGUAAAACUCUGUUAUUAGGGAAGAACAUAUGUGUAAGUAACUGUGCACAUCUUGACGGUACCUAAUCAGAAAGCCACGGCUAACUACGUG